Molecule: ribosomal RNA, 386 nt
Filed under: Escherichia coli
Lineage: Bacteria; Pseudomonadati; Pseudomonadota; Gammaproteobacteria; Enterobacterales; Enterobacteriaceae
Description: partial 23S ribosomal RNA
Rfam family: Bacterial large subunit ribosomal RNA
Source: RNAcentral
UCCUGGGGCUGAAGUAGGUCCCAAGGGUAUGGCUGUUCGCCAUUUAAAGUGGUACGCGAGCUGGGUUUAGAACGUCGUGAGACAGUUCGGUCCCUAUCUGCCGUGGGCGCUGGAGAACUGAGGGGGGCUGCUCCUAGUACGAGAGGACCGGAGUGGACGCAUCACUGGUGUUCGGGUUGUCAUGCCAAUGGCACUGCCCGGUAGCUAAAUGCGGAAGAGAUAAGUGCUGAAAGCAUCUAAGCACGAAACUUGCCCCGAGAUGAGUUCUCCCUGACUCCUUGAGAGUCCUGAAGGAACGUUGAAGACGACGACGUUGAUAGGCCGGGUGUGUAAGCGCAGCGAUGCGUUGAGCUAACCGGUACUAAUGAACCGUGAGGCUUAACCUU